Molecule: long non-coding RNA, 1303 nt
Organism: Nymphaea colorata (pocket water lily)
Lineage: Eukaryota; Viridiplantae; Streptophyta; Magnoliopsida; Nymphaeales; Nymphaeaceae
Exons: 2
Source: RefSeq, a predicted model, not a curated record
CACCGUUCACAAUCAAAUGGAGAAAAAGAGUACGUUAAUGGAGUUCUUCAACUACGCUCCUGCACGCCGAGCGAUGCAGCGCACCUUGAUCAUUUAAAUCUCUCCCUCUCUCUCUUUCUCCAUGAACCUGUCAGCCGGUCGGUCGUUUACCACUUGUGAUUUGGCCGUUCCUUUCAUUUCUAUGGAGCCUCGCCGGCAAACGGAAAGCCUCGCCAACGAAAAAUGAGAGAGAGGGAGAGGGCUCAGAGGGGGCGGAUCGGUUAGAGAGAUGCAAUGGUGGUCAGAGAAUUUGUCUCUUCUUGAAUUCGAUUGAACAACCAAUUGAAGAGCGGCUGAACGCCAAAAAGAAGAUAGCGAAGGUCGUUUACGAGGGUUUCUUAAACCCUAGCUUUUCAGUCUGGAAGGCAAAUGGUUACCUUCGCCGCAGCAUGCGCCACCGGUGUUUCCUCUCUCUAGCUUUCUUACAGGGCGUUUGAUAUGCCCAUGAACGGCGGAUCAGGAUCAGCGCCGUUCUGGGAUUGAAUAUUAUGACAAACACGCCGAUUCUGGAACGCGCGAAAAGCAUUGUCCUCGCGUUCCGGAAUAUCGUUGAAAGCAGUUCCGUUUUCGGUGGGUUACCACGGGCAGGUUUUGUUUGCUUUAUCCGCAGCGAUAUGAGGUUCCAUGAAUUGAAGCUUCAGAUAUUUGAGGCUAUCACACGCAACCUCAAGCCCGUAUCAAACGCCAUCCUCUAAUGCUGCUCAUCCGUCUUCUGCUGCAUGUACAAAGUGAGGAGGCUCCCGAUUUCUGCUGCUCGUCCGCCAUCGUCUGUUUCGUCCAUAUCUCUCAAUCGAAUGCGAGAACUUUUUCCGUGCCGCUGACUGUAGGACAUAUGCAGAAACUAAAAGCUUGGCUGCCGAACAUCGAGACAGGAGACUUGGUUUUUGUAAGGAAUCGUGUGCUUGCUCACCAAUUGAAGGUAACAACAUCCAAGCCAGUCACACUCAUCUUAGACUUCCAUACGAUAAUGCUUUGCUAAGACCUCCAUUGAUUUUUCCAAAGGAGGGAGCCUUAUGGGUUCCUGCAAGCAGCAUAGUUGUUGGUUGAUGAAAAUCCAAAAUAACAAGUCCUUCCUUCGGAACUGUUAUCGGCCAACCAGAUAGUGUGGCAACACGUAUCUGUCCCUAUCUAUGCAAAUACCAACAUGACAUAAUCGAAUUGCUAGAGACGUUCACCUGCUUGUUCUAAUGGCACAGGUUAACUUUGUUAUGGAAGUAGCAGAACAGGACAUCUUUGUUUCUGAUGUUCCAAGAACACCAGUCAA